UACGUAGGGAGCAAGCGUUGUCCGGAAUCACUGGGCGUAAAGGGCGCGUAGGCGGCUCAUGAAGGCUGUGGUGAAAGUCCGGGGCUCAACCUCGGAUCGGCCGUGGCGACUCGUGGGCUGGAGCACUGUAGAGGCGGGUGGAAUUCCGGGUGUAGCGGUGGAAUGCGUAGAUAUCGGGAGGAACACCGGUGGCGAAGGCGGCUUCCUGGACCGACAUUGACGCUGAGGCGCGAAAGCUAGGGGAGCAAACGGG
RNAcentral lists this ribosomal RNA (253 nucleotides) under uncultured bacterium. Its description in RNAcentral is "partial 16S ribosomal RNA". It matches the Rfam family "Bacterial small subunit ribosomal RNA", at positions 524 to 776 of the family's 1533-position model. The record is from RNAcentral.